Molecule: long non-coding RNA, 1224 nt
Organism: Oncorhynchus keta (chum salmon)
Lineage: Eukaryota; Metazoa; Chordata; Actinopteri; Salmoniformes; Salmonidae
Exons: 4
Source: RefSeq, a predicted model, not a curated record
UUAGAGUGUAGAGGUGGCAGGUAGCCUAGUGGUUAGAGUGUAGAGGUGGCAGGUAGUCUAGUGGUUAGAGUGUAGAGGUGGCAGGGUAGCCUAGUGGUUAGAGUGUAGAGGUGGCAGGUAGCCUAGUGGUUAGAGUGUAGAGGUGGCAGGUAGCCUAGUGGUUAGAGUGUAGAGGUGGCAGGUAGUCUAGUGGUUAGAGUGUAGAGGCGGCAGGUAGUCUAGUGGUUAGAGUGUAGAGGUGGCAGGUAGUCUAGUGGUUAGAGUGUAGAGGUGGCAGGUAGUCUAGUGGUUAGAGUGUAGAGGUGGCAGGUAGUCUAGUGGUUAGAGUGUAGAGGCGGCAGGUAGUCUAGUGGUUAGAGUGUAGAGGCGGCAGGUAGUCUAGUGGUUAGAGUGUAGAGGCGGCAGGUAGCCUAGUGGUUAGAGUGUAGAGGCGGCAGGUAGCCUAGUGGUUAGAGUGUAGAGGCGGCAGGUAGCCUAGUGGUUAGAGUGUAGAGGCGGCAGGUAGCCUAGUGGUUAGAGUGUAGAGGUGGCAGGUAGUCUAGUGGUUAGAGUGUAGAGGUGGCAGGUAGCCUAGUGGUUAGAGUGUAGAGGUGGCAGGUAGCCUAGUGGUUAGAGUGUAGAGGCGGCAGGUAGCCUAGUGGUUAGAGUGUAGAGGCGGCAGGUAGCCUAGUGGUUAGAGUGUAGAGGUGGCAGGUAGUCUAGUGGUUAGUGUGUAGAGGUGGCAGGUAGCCUAGUGGUUAGAGUGUAGAGGUGGCAGGUAGUCUAGUGGUUAGAGUGUAGAGGUGGCAGGUAGUCUAGUGGUUAGAGUGUAGAGGUGGCAGGUAGUCUAGUGGUUAGAGUGUAGAGGUGGCAGGUAGCCUAGUGGUUAGAGUGUAGAGGUGGCAGGUAGCCUAGUGGUUAGAGUGUAGAGGUGGCAGGUAGUCUAGUGGUUAGAGUGUAGAGGUGGCAGGUAGUCUAGUGGUUAGAGUGUAGAGGUGGCAGGUAGUCUAGUGGUUAGAGUGUAGAGGUGGCAGGUAGUCUAGUGGUUAGAGUGUAGAGGUGGCAGGUAGUCUAGUGGUUAGAGUGUAGAGGUGGCAGGUAGUCUAGUGGUUAGAGUGUAGAGGUGGCAGGUAGUCUAGUGGUUAGAGUGUAGAGGCGGCAGGUAGUCUAGUGGUUAGAGUUUAGAGGUGGCAGGUAGUCUAGUGGUUAGAGUGUAGAGGUGGCAGGUAGUCUAGUGGUUAGAGU